AUUAUUAUAAUUUUUAUUUGUGAAUUAAAUAUAUUAAAAAUUAUAUUAUAUGAUAAAUUGAUAAGCAUAUAAUAUAAUAUAUGUAAAAAUAUGUUAUAAUACCAUAUAAUAAAUAUGAGUCCGGCUACUAUACUAUUAUGAGUACGAUCGCCCUCGUACUCGUAAGUUAUUUUCGAUGAUAGAGCUUCCGAAUCGACGAUUCACACCGUUAAACAUUAUCUAGUGCAUUUGAUAUAUCUAGAAAUCAAAUUUUAUAAUUUUUCGACAUCAUUUACCUUACGAUCAAAAGCUCACAAAAUUGACAAUUUUUAACGACCAGUAUGGAAUACUUGCUAGUUUAAUGGUGCAAAAGAAUCCGAAUAGUUUGAAUUUUUGAUAGAAAAUUAUAUUCACUACCUAGAUAAAGAUCAAUAACUCGGAUCUUAAAUUGUGAAGGAUCCGAUCAUUCAUUUUUAAGACAUCGUUCGAUUUUGACCGUUCAUUUUAUGCCCGCUUGAUGAACUUUAUAAUAAUUUCGAAAAAUUACGAAAUUUAUUUUCUAGAAGUUUCAAAUAUUCUAGAUCAUAUUUAACAAAGUAGAUCGUCGAUUUGGAAGCUCCAUCAUCGAAAACAACUUAUGAGUACGAAUGGCCCAAUAUUCAUAAUAGUAUAGUAGCCCUACUCUAAUAUAUAUAUAUAUAUAUAUAUAUAUAUAUAGUAUGGCUACUGUGCUAUUAGGAGCACAACGCCCUUUUGCUCAUAACUUUCUAACCAUCUAUAAAUUUUGAUGGAUGGUUAGGGUGAGAAAGAGAAGAAAAAUUGAGUAUCUUAAUUUC
RNAcentral lists this long non-coding RNA (815 nucleotides) under Ananas comosus (pineapple). RNAcentral describes it as "long non-coding RNA (ACOM_LNC027391)". Lineage: Eukaryota; Viridiplantae; Streptophyta; Magnoliopsida; Poales; Bromeliaceae. The record is from RNAcentral.